This 19-nucleotide small nuclear RNA is filed under the name Arabidopsis thaliana (thale cress). RNAcentral's name for it is "snRNA_16625". Lineage: Eukaryota; Viridiplantae; Streptophyta; Magnoliopsida; Brassicales; Brassicaceae. The record is from RNAcentral.
GGAGCUCGGACGCGAGUUC